UACAAUUUUAUAUGGUAGUGUUAAUUAGUUGCAGUUUAAACAAUGUAAUUUAGAAAUAAAAAAACUACAGCAUAAAUUCGUGACAGAAUUCCCUUUAAUGAAAAAUAAUUUCUUCCUAAUAUAGAGGUACUGUUCAACUAAUACCAAACCUGACAGUGGUAUCUGGACACCCCCCCCAAUAGAUGGCUGGACACAGAGUAGUUUAAACAAAAAAAAAAUUUCAAUAGCUCAUAUGGGCUAAGCAUACACUAGACCACCACCACUUCUGGCAAGGCAAAAAUAGAAUUAUAGGGAAAUUGAGUUCAAGAAAGCUAAGAUUUUUCUCACAAAUAAUAACUAUUGACUCACUACAAUUAAAUGUAGAUGUGCUGCACCUAUCCUUAGUAUAAAAAUGUUUAUAGUGGUGAUUACAACUUACCCAUGUAUAUGGGUAUAUAGUGUAUGUAUAUACAGUAAAUGCAUGUGUGUCGUUGUAUAAGUUAGUUCUGCUAAUUGAAUGGAACUCAGAGUUUGCAAACAGAACGCCUCCUGAAAAAUCCAGUUCUCCAGGGCUAAACCUAACAUUCACAUAUGUGGAAUCUAAUGAGCUGGAAAGUAAGAACUUCUUUAAAUGCUUUGUGUGAAUUCAGAAUACAGUGGAAAGUAAAACAUAGAAAAUAUACGGCAUGUUAACAAGUACUAAUCCUACAACUAAUAUUUCAUCUACUGCUAUCUAACAUUUGACAUAAAUAACACAUAUCAUAAAGAGCCUUUUGGUAUUUGACUUCAGGAUCUUCAUGCAUCUUCGCUGGGGAGCAGGCCUCUAGUUGGGAUACUGCAGAUGUUAUUCUCCCAGGUACACUGGAACCCUGCCCAGGGGUGACAUUAUCUGGCAGGGGAGCAAGCUAAUGCAAUGGAUGGCAUGACAGUAGCCUGGAGGAUACUGGGAAUCCCAGGGGAUGCCUGGGAAAGAAGAAGAAUCCAAGAUGAGCCUGUUGAUUAUGAUAAAGGAUAUUUGGUAGUCCUAUUGGCAGUUAAAAGCAUGUACCCCUUUGUAAGGAUAUGUCUUAUAUGCACGCCUGCUAUAUGAGAGAGAUAUUUUGGCGAAUAUGUUACGGGGUCCUUUGAAGGGAUUUUGUGAUAAUGAUUGAAGUUUUGUUCUAGUUAAUAAAAUACCUUUUACAGUUUUCUUUA
Molecule: long non-coding RNA, 1173 nt
Organism: Xenopus laevis (African clawed frog)
Lineage: Eukaryota; Metazoa; Chordata; Amphibia; Anura; Pipidae
Exons: 2
Source: RefSeq, a predicted model, not a curated record